This 496-nucleotide ribosomal RNA is filed under the name uncultured bacterium. RNAcentral's name for it is "partial 16S ribosomal RNA". It matches the Rfam family "Bacterial small subunit ribosomal RNA", at positions 28 to 506 of the family's 1533-position model. The record is from RNAcentral.
GAUGAACGCUGGCGGCGUGCCUAAUACAUGCAAGUCGAGCGAACGGACGAGAAGCUUGCUUCUCUGAUGUUAGCGGCGGACGGGUGAGUAACACGUGGGUAACCUACCUAUAAGACUGGGAUAACUUCGGGAAACCGGAGCUAAUACCGGAUAAUAUUUUGAACCGCAUGGUUCAAAAGUGAAAGACGGUCUUGCUGUCACUUAUAGAUGGAUCCGCGCUGCAUUAGCUAGUUGGUAAGGUAACGGCUUACCAAGGCAACGAUGCAUAGCCGACCUGAGAGGGUGAUCGGCCACACUGGAACUGAGACACGGUCCAGACUCCUACGGGAGGCAGCAGUAGGGAAUCUUCCGCAAUGGGCGAAAGCCUGACGGAGCAACGCCGCGUGAGUGAUGAAGGUCUUCGGAUCGUAAAACUCUGUUAUUAGGGAAGAACAUAUGUGUAAGUAACUGUGCACAUCUUGACGGUACCUAAGCAGAAAGCCACGGCUAACUACGU